Molecule: microRNA, 24 nt
Filed under: Medicago truncatula (barrel medic)
Lineage: Eukaryota; Viridiplantae; Streptophyta; Magnoliopsida; Fabales; Fabaceae
Description: mtr-miR5295b
Source: miRBase by way of RNAcentral
UCGGCUCUGGGAAUGAAAAGAGGC